This 465-nucleotide ribosomal RNA is filed under the name Vreelandella stevensii. RNAcentral's name for it is "partial 16S ribosomal RNA". It matches the Rfam family "Bacterial small subunit ribosomal RNA", at positions 338 to 795 of the family's 1533-position model. The record is from RNAcentral. Lineage: Bacteria; Pseudomonadati; Pseudomonadota; Gammaproteobacteria; Oceanospirillales; Halomonadaceae.
CCUACAGGAGGCAGCAGUGGGGAAUAUUGGACAAUGGGGGGAACCCUGAUCCAGCCAUGCCGCGUGUGUGAAGAAGGCCCUCGGGUUGUAAAGCACUUUCAGUGAGGAAGAACGCCUGGUGGUUAAUACCCAUCAGGAAAGACAUCACUCACAGAAGAAGCACCGGCUAACUCCGUGCCAGCAGCCGCGGUAAUACGGAGGGUGCGAGCGUUAAUCGGAAUUACUGGGCGUAAAGCGCGCGUAGGUGGCUUGAUAAGCCGGUUGUGAAAGCCCCGGGCUCAACCUGGGAACGGCAUCCGGAACUGUCAAGCUAGAGUGCAGGAGAGGAAGGUAGAAUUCCCGGUGUAGCGGUGAAAUGCGUAGAGAUCGGGAGGAAUACCAGUGGCGAAAGCGGCCUUCUGGACUGACACUGACACUGAGGUGCGAAAGCGUGGGUAGCAAACAGGAUUAGAUACCCUAGUAGUC